GGGGCCUCGAACCCUAAAUGUGUGAUUGAGACAUUCUGCUUUGCGAUGAGCACUCUGACCAAGUCUAAACAAGUUCCUUCUAAUUUACGACAACAAAGAGGACAAAAUAAGUAUCCUUUUGAAUCGGACUCAAGUAAGAACUAUCUAAUACGAUUAUUUUUCUGCCAAUUUUGGUCUAAUUGCUAUAGGCCUAAAAGAUUAGGCUUAACGGGGCGAACACGUCAGAAGUAUUUUCGCUUCGCAGGUUGUUCUUGGUAGAGAAAUUCCCAGAAACUCUCCCCCGGAUCGUACGGGUAGUUGUUUUGCUAGAGUUAAACGUUGGCUAAGGUUGUAGCUAUAAAUCGUAUCGAAAAUCUGAUAGAGACGUUUACUGCGGGGUUGGCUAGAGCGGAUUACAUACAGCCUUUUAAAAUUGCUAACCGGGGACAUGCGGAUAGCCAGAGGGGUUAAACUAUGUUUCUGUUAGAAACGGGGGUAUACCGAAACGAGUAAUCGGGUUGUCCCAUUUUUAUUUCGAAAUUUUUACGAACAUCAUUUGAUGCGAUAUGUCCGGAUUGUACCUGAUGCUAGAUCGGAAGAG
This 580-nucleotide long non-coding RNA is filed under the name Androctonus crassicauda. The record is from RNAcentral. Lineage: Eukaryota; Metazoa; Arthropoda; Arachnida; Scorpiones; Buthidae.